This 62-nucleotide transfer RNA is filed under the name Lagria rufipennis. RNAcentral describes it as "tRNA-Ala". Lineage: Eukaryota; Metazoa; Arthropoda; Insecta; Coleoptera; Tenebrionidae. The record is from RNAcentral.
AAGUAAAAAGCAAAAUUUUGCAUUUAGUUUCGACCUAAAAAUUUGAUUUUAAUCUUUACUUU